RNAcentral lists this ribosomal RNA (471 nucleotides) under uncultured Alphaproteobacteria bacterium. Its description in RNAcentral is "SSU rRNA". It matches the Rfam family "Bacterial small subunit ribosomal RNA", at positions 8 to 527 of the family's 1533-position model. Lineage: Bacteria; Pseudomonadati; Pseudomonadota; Alphaproteobacteria. The record is from RNAcentral.
AGGGUUUGAUCAUGGCUCAGAGCGAACGCUGGCGGCAGGCUUAACACAUGCAAGUCGAACGGUCCUUCGGGAUAGUGGCGGACGGGUGAGUAACACGUGGGAACGUACCCUUAGGUUCGGAACAACACAGGGAAACUUGUGCUAAUACCGGAUGAGCCCUUCGGGGGAAAGAUUUAUCGCCUUUGGAGCGGCCCGCGUCUGAUUAGCUUGUUGGUGAGGUAAUGGCUCACCAAGGCUACGAUCAGUAGCUGGUCUGAGAGGAUGGCCAGCCACACUGGGACUGAGACACGGCCCAGACUCCUACGGGAGGCAGCAGUGGGGAAUCUUGCGCAAUGGGCGAAAGCCUGACGCAGCCAUGCCGCGUGGAUGAUGAAGGUCUUAGGAUUGUAAAAUCCUUUCACCGGGGACGAUAAUGACGGUACCCGGAGAAGAAGUCCCGGCUAACUUCGUGCCAGCAGCCGCGGUAAUACG